GCCUCGCACCUGGAACUCAAUGCACCUGAAGAGAUACUAUUACUAAAA
RNAcentral lists this small RNA (48 nucleotides) under Arabidopsis thaliana (thale cress). RNAcentral describes it as "ATSL014330". Lineage: Eukaryota; Viridiplantae; Streptophyta; Magnoliopsida; Brassicales; Brassicaceae. The record is from RNAcentral.